Setaria italica (foxtail millet) is the source of this 1277-nucleotide long non-coding RNA. RefSeq lists it as uncharacterized. Lineage: Eukaryota; Viridiplantae; Streptophyta; Magnoliopsida; Poales; Poaceae. The record is from RefSeq and is a predicted model, not a curated record. The transcript is spliced from 3 exons.
CGCUGGUCAAUAUAUAUUACAUACGUACAGCCACCGCCGCCGCCACUCGCCAUCUCCCGCUCCUGCCGCUGGUCGGCCGGUGACGGUCGUCGGUGCCAUCCCCCUCCACGUGACGACGGCUACGGUCUCCUUCCCCUUACGGUGGACAACAGGGGCACCUCCCGGUCGGAUCCUCGUCGUGGGCGUGAGGGCAAACUGGAUUUGCCGACCUGACAACCAAAUCGAGGCGGGGCUCCAUCCUCCAGGCGAGCGGCGGUGCGGCUGUGCGCUCCCCUUCUUGAUCCGUGAGGGCAGGGUGAUAAACGAACUGGUAGUAAUGACAGUGGUUCAACAUCGGCGGGACAAUCUCCACGACUUAAAUCUUUCUCUUGUAGAUCUCUUCUGACUAAUGAUGUGGAAAGUGGACUAAGAAGACCCCUGAACCCCUAGGGCUCACGUUGCAGACAGAUUAUUUUGCAAACCAAAGUGGACUAACCACAGUUUGUUGGAAGAGGGAUGCUGGUUCCUCAGAUAAGAACUAGAUGUUUAUUUCUUGGUUUAGGGAUUCCUGUUCAGAUAACUAGAGCUUUAUUAAUUUCCCUUUUUCUCUUAUAAAUGAAUUGAUGAGUUUUAUUUGUGAAUAUGUCUAGAUGAGUUCCUGUUCAAAAUUCAGAUAUGCGACUUGUUUUCAUUCAGUGAUUUAAAUGUUCAGAUGUGCAUGCUUCCUACUGGCUGAUAUGCAUUCAUUUCACCCAAGAGAUUCUGAUCUGAUUUGUCAAUCCAAAUUUACUACUAGGUGCAAGCUUGGUUUGAUAACCUGAUAUGAGUUAAUAUAUUUAGCCCCUGCGUUGUGAGUUGCUGUUUUUCCAGUGAUGACAGGAUGGGUCCUGCUGCCGAGCCCAUUCUUACUGACAAGCUGUAGGCGGCGAGCAGAAGGCCAACAUUGUGACGUGAAUUCCCCAACCUCUGCUGGCUCCAACCCAAACAACAACCUUAGGAGCAUCCUUUGUGCAGGUGUUGAGCGCUGGGACCAUCUUAUAACGCUAGAUGAGCAAUGGACCUCUCCAAUCUUUUUAUUUGUUUUUUAUUUGUAAGGGGUGGGAUUUUUUUUGUGUGUGGCAUUCUGGCCUUGCAACAGUGAUAACUAUGUGAUCCAUGGUCAAAUGCUUAUCAUUCCUCAAGGAAGUCUAUCUAGUAUUCCAGUGCAGCGAUUGCAUGUACAAGACCUACUGGCUCUUUUCUCUCCUUGUAAUGAUCACUAGGUGCUAUAAUUGUUGUACAAUUGUAUUACUUGUGUC